CUAGUGAGAAGAGGCAGACAGAAACAAAAUAAUGCAGGCUAAACCCAGCUGCCAUAAUGAGAAUAAACUCCAGGGAACGAGGGCAGAAUGCAGAGGCCAGCCAGAAGUCUAUUUCAACAGUCCGGGAGAGAUGACAAUGGCACAGAUACCAGGAGGCCCUUCACAAACCUUCCUGGAUGCACAGAGCCUUCUCCCUGCUUGAAUGGAGACAAAGAGAAAACACAUCAAACGAUCUGGCCACAUUAAAAGGGGAAUGGCAGGCUGUAUGACAGGAAGAUAAACCCUGUACUGAAAUUUCCAAAGCCUGUAAACAGCUGAGCAUAAUCAUGUUUCAACUUGGUGGUAUAUUACUUUGGACAGAGUGGUUAUGCCAUAAAAAGCUCAAAGCGUGAAGAUGGGGUUCUAUUUUUUCCAUUAAUUGCUGCAGCGUUUCAGAUUAAUUCCAGUGACGUGACAGCCCAAAAAAGCAAUGGUUUAAACACCAAUAAAUUUUAUUUUUCUCUUAA
RNAcentral lists this long non-coding RNA (506 nucleotides) under Homo sapiens (human). RNAcentral describes it as "HSALNT0215158". Lineage: Eukaryota; Metazoa; Chordata; Mammalia; Primates; Hominidae. The record is from RNAcentral.